UAAAAUGUGAUUAUAACAAUGGAAAAACCAACACAUGGCUACUCGAUGAUUCUGGUUACCCCUUGCAGCCAUACUUGAUGACGCCAUUCAGAAGCGCAGCCGAUGAAAUUCAACGAAUUUAAACACAAAGCACUCGAAAGCUCGUAAUGUAAUUGAGAGAUGUUUCGGUGUUUUGAAAAACCGAUUUCGAUGUAUAAUUGGCUCGAGAGGGCUACACUAUUCACCAGAAAAAGUUACACAAAUUGU
Rhagoletis pomonella (apple maggot) is the source of this 246-nucleotide long non-coding RNA. RefSeq lists it as uncharacterized. The transcript is spliced from 2 exons. The record is from RefSeq and is a predicted model, not a curated record. NCBI's taxonomy places the organism in Eukaryota, Metazoa, Arthropoda, Insecta, Diptera, Tephritidae.